RNAcentral lists this ribosomal RNA (485 nucleotides) under uncultured bacterium. RNAcentral's name for it is "bacterial SSU rRNA". It matches the Rfam family "Bacterial small subunit ribosomal RNA", at positions 29 to 507 of the family's 1533-position model. The record is from RNAcentral.
AACGAACGCUGGCGGCGCGCCUAACACAUGCAAGUCGAACGAGAAUCCGGGGCAACCCGGUAGUAAAGUGGCAAACGGGUGAGGAAUACAUGGGUAACCUACCCUUGAGAAGGGAAUAACCCGCCGAAAGGUGAGCUAAUACCCUAUACGCUAUCUUUUUUUCGAAAAGGAUAGGAAAGCCGGGUCGAGGACCUGGUACUCAAGGAGGGGCUCAUGUCCUAUCAGCCUGUUGGUGGGGUAACGGCCUACCAAGGCUACGACGGGUAGCUGGUCUGAGAGGAUGAUCAGCCACACUGGCACUGAGAUACGGGCCAGACUCCUACGGGAGGCAGCAGUGAGGAAUAUUGCGCAAUGGGCGAAAGCCUGACGCAGCGACGCCGCGUGGGGGAUGAAGGUUUUCGGAUUGUAAACCCCUUUCAUGAGGAAAGAUAAAGUGGGUAACCACUUAGACGGUACCUCAAGAAGAAGCCACGGCUAACUUCGUG